Molecule: long non-coding RNA, 1596 nt
Organism: Artibeus jamaicensis (Jamaican fruit-eating bat)
Lineage: Eukaryota; Metazoa; Chordata; Mammalia; Chiroptera; Phyllostomidae
Exons: 4
Source: RefSeq, a predicted model, not a curated record
UUCCCCGCUGAGGACGCCGCCCGGGAACCCGAAGGCCGGGUGGCUGGGAGCGGGGUCCGCGCCUGCACUUCGUCUGAAAAGUAGGCGCGCCGACCGCCCACUUCCUGAGUAGUUCGCUCAAAUUUUUACAACUUCUGCAGGUCCUGCGGCCGGGCCAAAAGCGCUCGUUCAGCCAAGAGAAGUGGAAACUAUUUUUGGCAUCCAGAAAGGCAGCCCCAGGGCGCGGAUUGCAGCGGCGCCGAAAGCGCUCGCCUGCAUUAACUUGGAGCGCAUUCCAGGUCCAAGUCCUUCCGUACAUCUCGGGGCCCCGGGCACCCGCGUUCGGGCACGCGAUCCGGCCUCUGAGGUGAGAACGAGAAGAAUCCAAACCGAGACUACCUAUACUCUACGGAAGCAUCACUAUAUCGGCAAAGAAGCUGCGGACACGACGGGGGUGCAUACGCCGGGACGGACGGCGGCCGGGCCGGCCCAGGGGUGGCGGCAGGUGCCGGGCACCUGGCCUCAGCUCUCGAAGGCAAUUCUGAGCGUGGCGGCUGCAACUACUCGCUAGCAGACAGCGGGCGCCCCCAGGGCCGGCCGCGGGGCCCCGGGGGGGACAUCGUCUUUCCCAGCUCGGGUCGGGUCCUUGCGGAGAACGGAGCGUUUGUACAGGGAGCCGUAUAAAGUGCCGCGGGGGUGUACGUACAUCUAUACACGUGCGUGCCGAGGUGGAGCACGGGUCCGAGUGUCCGCCGCGCGUCUCCGGGUCCGCCGGGAGGGCCCCGCCCCGGCUCCGGCCAGCGCCGCGCGGCUCUGGCGCAGGAAUUGCACGGUCCGCACGGGUACGCAGGACAAGUACUUUUGUACUUCCUGCGUAACAUCAAGACAUGGAAGGAAGCGAUGCUACAACGUGUGGAGAGUCAACACCAGAGAACACGGCACGUCCUAGGGACUAUCGGGAGGGCGGGGCGCAGCCGCGGCGGCGGGCGUGGCGCACAGCGAGUGCCGAGUCACGUAAAACGAACAGCACAGGACAACUCUACAAGGCUGUGCAGACGCUCUAGGGUCCACCGGUCUCCAGCGACAGGGGCAGAGGUGGCGGCGGCGGGGGAGUUCUGAGUGGGGCCCACCGCGCCUCAGGCCCAGGCGGGGGCGGGCGACGCCGCAGGGAGCAGCUCUGCCGCUGGAUCCAGCUGGAAAUCCAGUCCAGUGACUCGCAGGCUGGCAAACCGCUUCCCUCUGGGCCCCGAGUGUGAACCGGCAAUGACAACAGCUGUACAGCUGUUCAGGCGGCCGGGGGAGCAAACACCCAAAUGACUGGAGCUCGAGUGAAAGCGCACGGGCUCUGCUGGACAAGCCGUGUCGCAAUGAGGGACAGUCCGGGGGCCAGGACACUCUCGGGGAGGUCAGAGAAGGCUGCUGCAGGGUGUACUGAACACGGAAAAGGAAAUCUUCGCGGCGUCCGCCUCUCCCGAGCCCCCGUCUCACUGGCGUUCCCAGGGCCACGCCGCGCACGGCGCAGGAGCUAAUUUAAAAGAGCUGUGAGAGCUGCUUUGAAUCUUCUGCCAAGUUUCCAUGGCUUGAUGUUGUCUUACAAUAAAUUACUUAUUUCUUACA